This 315-nucleotide ribosomal RNA is filed under the name uncultured archaeon. Its description in RNAcentral is "bacterial SSU rRNA". It matches the Rfam family "Archaeal small subunit ribosomal RNA", at positions 1029 to 1343 of the family's 1478-position model. The record is from RNAcentral.
UUUAGUCAGGCAACGAGCGAGACCCGUACCCACAGUUGCCAGCGGCUGCUCCGGCAGGCUGGGUACACCGUGGGGACCGCCUCUGCUAAAGAGGAGGAAGGAGCGGGCGACGGUAGGUCAGUAUGCCCCGAAUUCUCCGGGCUACACGCGGGCUACAAUGGAUGGGACAAUGGGCUCCGACACCGAAAGGUGAAGGCAAUCUCUUAAACCCAUUCUUAGUUCGGAUUGAGGGCUGAAACUCGCCCUUAUGAAGCUGGAAUCCGUAGUAAUCGCGUUUCAAAACAGCGCGGUGAAUACGUCCCUGCUCCUUGCACA